GAGGGUAUAGCUCAGUGGUAGAGCGUGUGCUUAGCAUGCAUGAGGUCCUGGGUUCAAUCCCCAGUAUGGUCA
This 72-nucleotide transfer RNA is filed under the name Camelus bactrianus (Bactrian camel). It matches the Rfam family "tRNA". Rfam says of the family: Transfer RNA (tRNA) molecules are approximately 80 nucleotides in length. Their secondary structure includes four short double-helical elements and three loops (D, anti-codon, and T loops). Further hydrogen bonds mediate the characteristic L-shaped molecular structure. tRNAs have two regions of fundamental functional importance: the anti-codon, which is responsible for specific mRNA codon recognition, and the 3' end, to which the tRNAs corresponding amino acid is attached (by aminoacyl-tRNA synthetases). tRNAs cope with the degeneracy of the genetic code in two manners: having more than one tRNA (with a specific anti-codon) for a particular amino acid; and 'wobble' base-pairing, i.e. permitting non-standard base-pairing at the 3rd anti-codon position. The record is from Rfam by way of RNAcentral. Lineage: Eukaryota; Metazoa; Chordata; Mammalia; Artiodactyla; Camelidae. RNAcentral also lists the same sequence under 1 other name.